CGUGCGGGUGCUAAUACAUGCAAGUCGAGCGAAUGGAUUAAGAGCUUGCUCUUAUGAAGUUAGCGGCGGACGGGUGAGUAACACGUGGGUAACCUGCCCAUAAGACUGGGAUAACUCCGGGAAACCGGGGCUAAUACCGGAUAACAUUUUGAACCGCAUGGUUCGAAAUUGAAAGGCGGCUUCGGCUGUCACUUAUGGAUGGACCCGCGUCGCAUUAGCUAGUUGGUGAGGUAACGGCUCACCAAGGCAACGAUGCGUAGCCGACCUGAGAGGGUGAUCGGCCACACUGGGACUGAGACACGGCCCAGACUCCUACGGGAGGCAGCAGUAGGGAAUCUUCCGCAAUGGACGAAAGUCUGACGGAGCAACGCCGCGUGAGUGAUGAAGGCUUUCGGGUCGUAAAACUCUGUUGUUAGGGAAGAACAAGUGCUAGUUGAAUAAGCUGGCACCUUGACGGUACCUAACCAGAAAGCCACGGCUAACUACGUGCCAGCAGCCGCGGUAAUACGUAGGUGGCAAGCGUUAUCCGGAAUUAUUGGGCGUAAAGCGCGCGCAGGUGGUUUCUUAAGUCUGAUGUGAAAGCCCACGGCUCAACCGUGGAGGGUCAUUGGAAACUGGGAGACUUGAGUGCAGAAGAGGAAAGUGGAAUUCCAUGUGUAGCGGUGAAAUGCGUAGAGAUAUGGAGGAACACCAGUGGCGAAGGCGACUUUCUGGUCUGUAACUGACACUGAGGCGCGAAAGCUGCCCCU
This 749-nucleotide ribosomal RNA is filed under the name Bacillus cereus. RNAcentral describes it as "bacterial SSU rRNA". It matches the Rfam family "Bacterial small subunit ribosomal RNA", at positions 36 to 767 of the family's 1533-position model. The record is from RNAcentral. Lineage: Bacteria; Bacillati; Bacillota; Bacilli; Caryophanales; Bacillaceae.